AAAUAGAUACCCCGGUAGUCCACGCCGUAAACGAUCGAGUGCUAAGUGUUAGAGGGGUUUCCGCCCUUUAGUGGCUGCAGCUAACGCAUUAAGCACUCCGCCUGGGGAGUACGGCCGCAAGGCUGAAACUCAAAGGAAUUGACGGGGGCCCGCACAAGCGGUGGAGCAUGUGGUUUAAUUCGAAGCAACGCGAAGAACCUUACCAGGUCUUGACAUCCUCUGCUAACCCUAGAGAUAGGGCGUUCCCCUUCGGGGGACAGAGUGACAGGUGGUGCAUGGUUGUCGUCAGCUCGUGUCGUGAGAUGUUGGGUUAAGUCCCGCAACGAGCGCAACCCUUGACCUUAGUUGCCAGCAUUCAGUUGGGCACUCUAAGGUGACUGCCGGUGACAAACCGGAGGAAGGUGGGGAUGACGUCAAAUCAUCAUGCCCCUUAUGACCUGGGCUACACACGUGCUACAAUGGAUGGUACAAAGGGCUGCGAGACCGCGAGGUUAAGCCAAUCCCAUAAAAACCAUUCUCAGUUCGGAUUGCAGGCUGCUAACCG
This 544-nucleotide ribosomal RNA is filed under the name uncultured bacterium. RNAcentral describes it as "bacterial SSU rRNA". It matches the Rfam family "Bacterial small subunit ribosomal RNA", at positions 776 to 1314 of the family's 1533-position model. The record is from RNAcentral.